This 1123-nucleotide long non-coding RNA is filed under the name Marmota monax (woodchuck). The record is from RNAcentral. Lineage: Eukaryota; Metazoa; Chordata; Mammalia; Rodentia; Sciuridae.
GUCUGUCAUCCCAGCUACUCAGGAGACUGAGGUAGGAGCAUUGCAGAUUUGAGGCCAGCCUGGAUAAUUUAGUGAGACUCUAUCCCAAAAUAAAAUAAAAAGGCUGAGGGUAUAGCUCAGUGGUAGAGGAUUCCUGCAAUCUCCAAUAUGCAAAAAUCAAUCAAUCAAAUACCUCACAUGCUUUCAAAAACUGGAAACAGGAAAAGAAACUGGAAAAGAAACAAGAAAAAGAAAGAAAUGGGUGUGGUGGCACAGUCCUGUAAUCCCAGCAGCUCUGGAGGCCAAGGAGGAAGGAUCGUGAGUUCAAACCCAGCCUCAGCAAUUUAGUAAGGCCCUAAGCAAUUUAGUGCGACUCUAUCUGAAAAUAAAAAAUAAAUAAAUAAAAUAAAAAGGGCUGGGGAUGUGGCUCAGUGGUUAACUGCCUCUGAGUUCAAUUCCCAGUACCAGGAAAAAAAAAAAAAGAGGCCGAAAAAUAGUGGGGAGGGUGUUGAUGAAUGGGCUUCUGAGGCUGGGCUGGAAAAGAAUAUCUGAAGUACUGAAGUCCAGGCCUGGUCACCAGGCAACUCAUCACCUGGCAACAGCUUCCCAGCUAGCUGCCUGCUUCCAUCUUCACCCGGACAGCACAGCAGCCCUCCACGUCUCCACCAGGCUUCUCUCCAAAGCAGCACCCUUAUGCACACUCUCCUACGUCAUGCUUCUUGCUGACACUAAAGGCUCAUCCUGUCCCCAAUGAACUCCUCCCUCUCCCUUGGACAAUGGCUUCCCCUUCCCAUCCCACCACAGCGUCUUCAGGAUGAAGCACAGCUCCUCAGAAGGCCAUCCCAGAUCACAGUGGCUCUACCCCACCUCUCCCACUAUUUCCCCACGGGAAGCUCAGCUUGGCAAGUUUUCCCCACAGGUGGGUGGUUCCUGUUUACUUCAGUGAUGUGCCUGUGUUGUGUCCCUGCCUGGAAAGCAUACUUCCCCUGCCCCUCCCUGCUCUUCACACCUGCCCAUCCUUCAGGACUGGUCAGUUCUGGUCUCCUUACUAUGACUUCCCUUUAUCUCUUUAUCUUUGCACCUUUUAUUUUAUAUCAUCCAUUUAGUAUUGUAACCAGUGAAGUCAUUUAAAUGAUUCAUAUUU